Molecule: ribosomal RNA, 417 nt
Filed under: Triticum aestivum (bread wheat)
Lineage: Eukaryota; Viridiplantae; Streptophyta; Magnoliopsida; Poales; Poaceae
Description: partial small subunit ribosomal RNA
Source: RNAcentral
AUGUCCUUUGCGGCGGUUCUCGCCCAGGUGAGCGUCCACUCCUCCCGGUGUUCGUCAUGUGUUCUCCCUCUCCCUCUGCGUCCCCUGUCGCUAUUCUCACGUUGCUUUUGUCGCAACCAGAGGCUCAACAUCAGGGGCCGAGUCUACCCGGCGAUCCUCCCUGUAGACGGCAACAAAGUCCCUGGAAAGGUUUGGAAGGGGAUCACUGAUGGGGAGCUUGAUGUGCUGGACACAUUUGAAGAUGAAGAGUAUGUGAGGGAAGCUGUUGGCAUCUCACUGACCGAUUCGUCGGAUACAAUGAUCGCCUAUGCAUACAUAUGGGGGAAUGUAGAUGAUCCUGACCUCUAUAGUGAAUGGGAUUUUGACGUGAGUAUUUCCCUUCAUGCUAAUCGUAAGCAUUUUUCGUAUAUUGAUUGA